CGGGAAGCAGCAGCAGGGAAUAUUAGUCAAUGGCAGCAACCCGAUCCUGCCAUACCCCGUGCGUGAAGAAGGCCUUUUGGUUUAAACACUUUAAGCGUGGAGGAGA
This 106-nucleotide ribosomal RNA is filed under the name uncultured Gammaproteobacteria bacterium. RNAcentral describes it as "partial 16S ribosomal RNA". Lineage: Bacteria; Pseudomonadati; Pseudomonadota; Gammaproteobacteria. The record is from RNAcentral.